This 649-nucleotide ribosomal RNA is filed under the name uncultured Clostridium sp. Its description in RNAcentral is "bacterial SSU rRNA". It matches the Rfam family "Bacterial small subunit ribosomal RNA", at positions 59 to 736 of the family's 1533-position model. Lineage: Bacteria; Bacillati; Bacillota; Clostridia; Eubacteriales; Clostridiaceae. The record is from RNAcentral.
AAGUCGAGCGAUUUACUUCGGUAAAGAGCGGCGGACGGGUGAGUAACGCGUGGGUAACCUGCCCUGUACACACGGAUAACAUACCGAAAGGUAUGCUAAUACGAGAUAAAAUAUUUUUAUCGCAUGGUAGAAGUAUCAAAGCUUUUGCGGUACAGGAUGGACCCGCGUCUGAUUAGCUAGUUGGUAAGGUAACGGCUUACCAAGGCGACGAUCAGUAGCCGACCUGAGAGGGUGAUCGGCCACAUUGGAACUGAGACACGGUCCAAACUCCUACGGGAGGCAGCAGUGGGGAAUAUUGCACAAUGGGCGAAAGCCUGAUGCAGCAACGCCGCGUGAGCGAUGAAGGCCUUCGGGUCGUAAAGCUCUGUCCUCAAGGAAGAUAAUGACGGUACUUGAGGAGGAAGCCCCGGCUAACUACGUGCCAGCAGCCGCGGUAAUACGUAGGGGGCUAGCGUUAUCCGGAAUUACUGGGCGUAAAGGGUGCGUAGGUGGUUUCUUAAGUCAGAGGUGAAAGGCUACGGCUCAACCGUAGUAAGCCUUUGAAACUGGGGAACUUGAGUGCAGGAGAGGAGAGUGGAAUUCCUAGUGUAGCGGUGAAAUGCGUAGAUAUUAGGAGGAACACCAGUUGCGAAGGCGGCUCUCUGGACUG